GAUGAACGCUGGCGGCGUGCCUAAUACAUGCAAGUCGAGCGAACAGACGAGGAGCUUGCUCCUCAGACGUUAGCGGCGGACGGGUGAGUAACACGUGGAUAACCUGCCUAUAAGACUGGGAUAACUUCGGGAAACCGGAGCUAAUACCGGAUAAUAUAUUGAACCGCAUGGUUCAAUAGUGAAAGACGGUUUUGCUGUCACUUAUAGAUGGAUCCGCGCCGCAUUAGCUAGUUGGUAAGGUAACGGCUUACCAAGGCAACGAUGCGUAGCCGACCUGAGAGGGUGAUCGGCCACACUGGAACUGAGACACGGUCCAGACUCCUACGGGAGGCAGCAGUAGGGAAUCUUCCGCAAUGGGCGAAAGCUUGACGGAGCAACGCCGCGUGAGUGAUGAAGGUCUUCGGAUCGUAAAACUCUGUUAUUAGGGAAGAACAAAUGUGUAAGUAACUAUGCACGUCUUGACGGUACCUAAUCAGAAAGCCACGGCUAACUACGUG
This 497-nucleotide ribosomal RNA is filed under the name uncultured bacterium. Its description in RNAcentral is "partial 16S ribosomal RNA". It matches the Rfam family "Bacterial small subunit ribosomal RNA", at positions 28 to 507 of the family's 1533-position model. The record is from RNAcentral.